AUUGAACGCUGGCGGCAGGCCUAACACAUGCAAGUCGAACGGUAACAGGAAACAGCUUGCUGUUUCGCUGACGAGUGGCGGACGGGUGAGUAAUGUCUGGGAAACUGCCUGAUGGAGGGGGAUAACUACUGGAAACGGUAGCUAAUACCGCAUAACGUCGCAAGACCAAAGAGGGGGACCCUCGGGCCUCUUGCCCUCGGAUGUGCCCAGAUGGGAUUAGCUUGUUGGUGGGGUAACGGCUCACCAAGGCGACGAUCCCUAGCUGGUCUGAGAGGAUGACCAGCCACACUGGAACUGAGACACGGUCCAGACUCCUACGGGAGGCAGCAGUGGGGAAUAUUGCACAAUGGGCGCAAGCCUGAUGCAGCCAUGCCGCGUGGAUGAAGAAGGCCUUCGGGUUGUAAAGUACUUUCAGCGGGGAGGAAGGGAGUAAAGUUAAUACCUUUGCGCAUUGACGUUACCCGCAGAAGAAGCACCGGCUAACUCCGUG
RNAcentral lists this ribosomal RNA (490 nucleotides) under uncultured bacterium. RNAcentral's name for it is "partial 16S ribosomal RNA". It matches the Rfam family "Bacterial small subunit ribosomal RNA", at positions 30 to 507 of the family's 1533-position model. The record is from RNAcentral.